UACGUAAGGGGCAAGCGUUGUCCGGAAUCACUGGGCGUAAAGGGUGCGUAGGCGGGUCUUUAAGUCAGGGGUGAAAUCCUGGAGCUCAACUCCAGAACUGCCUUUGAUACUGAAGAUCUUGAGUUCGGGAGAGGUGAGUGGAACUGCGAGUGUAGAGGUGAAAUUCGUAGAUAUUCGCAAGAACACCAGUGGCGAAGGCGGCUCACUGGCCCGAUACUGACGCUGAGGCACGAAAGCGUGGGGAGCAAACAGG
Molecule: ribosomal RNA, 253 nt
Filed under: uncultured bacterium
Lineage: Bacteria
Description: partial 16S ribosomal RNA
Rfam family: Bacterial small subunit ribosomal RNA
Source: RNAcentral